RNAcentral lists this ribosomal RNA (253 nucleotides) under uncultured bacterium. RNAcentral's name for it is "partial 16S ribosomal RNA". It matches the Rfam family "Bacterial small subunit ribosomal RNA", at positions 524 to 776 of the family's 1533-position model. The record is from RNAcentral.
UACGAAGGGUGCAAGCGUUACUCGGAAUUACUGGGCGUAAAGCGUGCGCAGGCGGUUUUGUAAGUUUGUCGUGAAAGCCCCGGGCUCAACCUGGGAAUUGCGAUGAAGACUGCAAGGCUUGAAUCUGGCAGAGGGGGGUAGAAUUCCACGUGUAGCAGUGAAAUGCGUAGAGAUGUGGAGGAACACCGAUGGCGAAGGCAGCCCCCUGGGUCAAGAUUGACGCUCAUGCACGAAAGCGUGGGGAGCAAACAGG